UAAAGCUCUGUUGUUAGGGAAGAACAAGUACCGUUCGAAUAGGGCGGUACYUUGACGGUAUCCUAACYAGAAAGCCACGGCUAACUACGUGCCAGCAGCCGCGGUAAUACGUAGGUGGCAAGCGUUGUCCGGAAUUAUUGGGCGUAAAGCGCGCGCAGGUGGUUCCUUAAGUCUGAUGUGAAAGCCCACGGCUCAACCGUGGAGGGUCAUUGGAAACUGGGGAACUUGAGUGCAGAAGAGGAGAAGGUGGAAUUCCAAGUGUAUGCGGUGAAAUGCGUAUGAUAUUUGGAGGAACACCAGUGGCGAGAGGCGAGCUUUCUGGUCUGUAAYUGAGCACUGAGGCGCGAAAGCGUGKGGGAGCAAACAGGAUUAGAUACCCUGGUAGUCCACGCCGUAAACGAUGAGUGCUAAGUGUUAGGGGGUUUCCGCCCCUUAGUGCUGCMACUAACGCAUUAAG
RNAcentral lists this ribosomal RNA (457 nucleotides) under uncultured delta proteobacterium. RNAcentral's name for it is "bacterial SSU rRNA". It matches the Rfam family "Bacterial small subunit ribosomal RNA", at positions 426 to 864 of the family's 1533-position model. The record is from RNAcentral. Lineage: Bacteria; Deltaproteobacteria.